GGUCCUGUGGUCUAGUGGUAUGAUUCUCGCUUUGGGUUCCCAGCUAGUCCGGAAACGGCAUGGCUGACUAAUCUGGCAUGCGAGAGGCCCCGUGUUCGAACCACGGCAGGACCC
Molecule: non-coding RNA, 114 nt
Organism: Onygenales sp. PD_10
Lineage: Eukaryota; Fungi; Ascomycota; Eurotiomycetes; Onygenales
Source: the annotation of a GenBank genome assembly